CGCUGGCGGCAGGCCUAACACAUGCAAGUCGAGCGGUAGCACAGAGGAGCUUGCUCCUUGGGUGACGAGUGGCGGACGGGUGAGUAAUGUCUGGGGAUCUGCCCGAUAGAGGGGGAUAACCACUGGAAACGGUGGCUAAUACCGCAUAACGUCGCAAGACCAAAGAGGGGGACCUUCGGGCCUCUCACUAUCGGAUGAACCCAGAUGGGAUUAGCUAGUAGGCGGGGUAAUGGCCCACCUAGGCGACGAUCCCUAGCUGGUCUGAGAGGAUGACCAGCCACACUGGAACUGAGACACGGUCCAGACUCCUACGGGAGGCAGCAGUGGGGAAUAUUGCACAAUGGGCGCAAGCCUGAUGCAGCCAUGCCGCGUGUAUGAAGAAGGCCUUCGGGUUGUAAAGUACUUUCAGCGGGGAGGAAGGCGACGGGGUUAAUAACCGCGUCGAUUGACGUUACCCGCAGAAGAAGCACCGGCU
RNAcentral lists this ribosomal RNA (475 nucleotides) under uncultured bacterium. Its description in RNAcentral is "bacterial SSU rRNA". It matches the Rfam family "Bacterial small subunit ribosomal RNA", at positions 34 to 498 of the family's 1533-position model. The record is from RNAcentral.